This 623-nucleotide ribosomal RNA is filed under the name uncultured archaeon. Its description in RNAcentral is "bacterial SSU rRNA". It matches the Rfam family "Archaeal small subunit ribosomal RNA", at positions 146 to 774 of the family's 1478-position model. The record is from RNAcentral.
AUAAUACUCCAUAGAUUAGAGACACUGGAAUGUUCUUUAGUCGAAAGUUCUGGCGCCUUAGGAUGGAUCUGCGGUCGAUUAGGUUGUUGUUGGGGUAACGGCCCAACAAGCCUGUAAUCGAUACGGGUUGUGGGAGCAAGAGCCCGGAGAUGGAAUCUGAGACACGAUUCCAGGCCCUACGGGGCGCAGCAGGCGCGAAAACUUUACAAUGCAGGAAACUGUGAUAAGGGAACUCCGAGUGCCCGUAUACGCGGGCUGUCCAGGUGUUUAAAAAUCAUCUGAAGAAAGGGCCGGGCAAGACCGGUGCCAGCCGCCGCGGUAAUACCGGCGGCUCGAGUGGUGGCCACUAUUAUUGGGCUUAAAGCGUCCGUAGCUGGACCGAUAAGUCUCUUGGGAAAUCCGCCGGCUCAACCGGCGGGCGUCUAAGGGAUACUGUUAGUCUAGGGACCGGGAGAGGUGAGAGGUACUCCGGGGGUAGGAGUGAAAUCCUGUAAUCCCCGGGGGACCACCGAUGGCGAAGGCAUCUCACCAAAACGGCUCCGACAGUGAGGGACGAAAGCUGGGGGAACGAACCGGAUUAAAUACCCGGGUAUUCCCAGCCGUAAACUAUGCGCGUUAGGUGU